RNAcentral lists this unclassified non-coding RNA (272 nucleotides) under Caloplaca sp. RNAcentral describes it as "partial contains 5.8S ribosomal RNA, internal transcribed spacer 2, and large subunit ribosomal RNA". Lineage: Eukaryota; Fungi; Ascomycota; Lecanoromycetes; Teloschistales; Teloschistaceae. The record is from RNAcentral.
CGCACAUUGCGCCCUUUGGUAUUCCGAAGGGCAUGCCUGUUCGAGCGUCGUUAACACUCAUUCAAGCAUGUCUUUGCUUGGUGUUAGUCUCUAAAAAGCGUACGCUUUUAGGCUUCAAAUACAUCGGCGGCGCACGAUAGCACCCUGAAGCAUACGGGCUUCGUAUGCUCUGUUGGUGCUUGACGGCGCAGAAAGCCCCAUAGUUUUAAAGGAUAACCCCUUUUACUAUCACGUUUGACCUCGGAUCAGGUAGGAAUACCCGCUGAACUUAA